This 490-nucleotide ribosomal RNA is filed under the name uncultured bacterium. Its description in RNAcentral is "partial 16S ribosomal RNA". It matches the Rfam family "Bacterial small subunit ribosomal RNA", at positions 30 to 507 of the family's 1533-position model. The record is from RNAcentral.
AUUGAACGCUGGCGGCAGGCCUAACACAUGCAAGUCGAGCGGUAGCAGGAAGAAUGUUCCUGCAUUCCGCGCGGGACGGGGGAGUGAGGGCAAUGUCUGUGACACUUAGUGAUGGAUGAGGUCAGCUAAUGGGAACGAAAACCGCAUCCGCCCAACGUGGGAAGGCGAGAGAUCGUGGACCUCCGGGCUCUUGCCAGCGGAUGUGCCCAAAUGGGAUUAGCUAGUAGGUGGGGUAACGGCCCACCUAGGCGACGAUCCCUAGCUGGUCUGAGAGGAUGACCAGCCACACUGGAACUGAGACACGGUCCAGACUCCUACGGGAGGCAGCAGUGGGGAAUAUUGCACAAUGGGCGCAAGCCUGAUGCAGCCAUGCCGCGUGUAUGAAGAAGGCCUUCGGGUUGUAAAGUACUUUAAGCGGGGAGGAAGGGAGUAAAGUUAAUACCUUUGCUCAUUGACGUUACCCGCAGAAGAAGCACCGGCUAACUUCGUG